This 479-nucleotide ribosomal RNA is filed under the name uncultured Gammaproteobacteria bacterium. RNAcentral's name for it is "bacterial SSU rRNA". It matches the Rfam family "Bacterial small subunit ribosomal RNA", at positions 91 to 566 of the family's 1533-position model. The record is from RNAcentral. Lineage: Bacteria; Pseudomonadati; Pseudomonadota; Gammaproteobacteria.
ACGAGCGGCGGACGGGUGAGUAAUGUCUGGGAAACUGCCUGAUGGAGGGGGAUAACUACUGGAAACGGUAGCUAAUACCGCAUAACGUCGCAAGACCAAAGAGGGGGACCUUCGGGCCUCUUGCCAUCAGAUGUGCCCAGAUGGGAUUAGCUAGUAGGUGGGGUAAUGGCUCACCUAGGCGACGAUCCCUAGCUGGUCUGAGAGGAUGACCAGCCACACUGGAACUGAGACACGGUCCAGACUCCUACGGGAGGCAGCAGUGGGGAAUAUUGCACAAUGGGCGCAAGCCUGAUGCAGCCAUGCCGCGUGUGUGAAGAAGGCCUUCGGGUUGUAAAGCACUUUCAGCGAGGAGGAAGGUGGUGAACUUAAUACGUUCAUCAAUUGACGUUACUCGCAGAAGAAGCACCGGCUAACUCCGUGCCAGCAGCCGCGGUAAUACGGAGGAUGCAAGCGUUAAUCGGAAUUACUGGGCGUAAAGC